Molecule: ribosomal RNA, 501 nt
Filed under: uncultured bacterium
Lineage: Bacteria
Description: bacterial SSU rRNA
Rfam family: Bacterial small subunit ribosomal RNA
Source: RNAcentral
UAAGGGAUAUUGCACAAUGGGCGCAAGCCUGAUGCAGCAACGCCGCGUGCCCGAUGAAAGGCCUUCGGGUCGUAAAGGGCUUUUCUGGUUGAAGAGGGAUGGACAGUAGACCAGGAAGAAGUGUCGGCUAACUACGUGCCAGCAGCCGCGGUAAAACGUAGGACGCAAGCGUUAUCCGGAGUUACUGGGCGUAAAGCGCGGGCAGGCGGUCCCUGAAGUCCGACGUGAAAGCUCCCGGCUCAACCGGGAGAGGCCGUGGGAAACUCGAGGACUGGAGAGCAGCAGAGGUGGGCGGAAUUCCGGGUGGAGUGGUGAAAUGCGUAGAGAUCCGGAGGAACACCAGAGGCGAAGGCGGCCCACUGGGCUGCAUCUGACGCUGAGCCGCGACAGCCAGGGGAGCGAACGGGAUUAGAACCCCGGUAGUCCUGGCCGUAAACGAUCGUGCGCUAGGGUGUCGGGGGGUUACGACCUUCGGCGUCCGAAGCUUAACGCGAUAAGCGC